Aedes albopictus (Asian tiger mosquito) is the source of this 71-nucleotide non-coding RNA. The record is from Rfam. NCBI's taxonomy places the organism in Eukaryota, Metazoa, Arthropoda, Insecta, Diptera, Culicidae.
CUUCUCGUGGCGUAGCGGCAACGCGCCUGUCUAGUGAGUAGGAGUCGUGAGUUCGAGUCUCACCGAGAGGA